RNAcentral lists this ribosomal RNA (600 nucleotides) under uncultured bacterium. Its description in RNAcentral is "partial 16S ribosomal RNA". It matches the Rfam family "Bacterial small subunit ribosomal RNA", at positions 169 to 704 of the family's 1533-position model. The record is from RNAcentral.
CCCCAUAAUAUUGUUGAAUUGCAUCAUUCGACAUUGAAAACUCCGGUGGAUAGAGAUGGGCACGCGCAAGAUUAGAUAGUUGGUGAGUAACGGCUCACCAAGUCUACGAUCUUUAGGGGGCCUGAGAGGUGAUCCCCCACACUGGUACUGAGACACGGACCAGACUCCUACGGGAGGCAGCAGUGAGGAAUAUUGGACAAUGGGUGAGAGCCUGAUCCAGCCAUCCCGCGUGAAGGACGACUGCCCUAUGGGUUGUAAACUUCUUUUGUAUAGGGAUAAACCUACCCUCGUGAGGGUUAGCUUGAAGGGUUACUUAUUACGGAAUAAGCACCGGGCUAAACUCCCGGUUGGGCCCAAGGGCCAAAAGGGGCCCCCCCCCGGGGGGCCCGGGGGGAUUUUAUAAAAAAAAAAAAAAAUUACGGAGGGUGCAAGCGUUAUCCGGGAUUUAUUGGGUUUAAAGGGUCCGUAGGCGGAUCUGUAAAGUCAGUGGUGAAAUCUCACAGUUAACUGUGAAAACUGGCAUUGAUACUGCAGGUCUUGAGUGUUGUUGAAGUAGCUGGAAUAAGGUAGUGUACGGUGAAAUGCAUAGAUUUACUUUAA